UUUUGGAGUUUGGAGCUGGUAUUGGUCGUUUCACUGGGGAAUUAGCGCAGAAAGCUGGGCAGCUUGUUGCCGUGGACUUCAUUGAGAGCGUGAUAAAGAAGAAUGAAAGCAUUAAUGGACACCACAAGAAUGUCAAGUUUAUGUGUGCUGAUGUGACAUCCCCUGACUUGAAAUUUUCAGAAGGAUCAGUGGAUUUAAUAUUCUCAAAUUGGCUUCUUAUGUAUCUCUCAGAUAAAGAGGUAGAGAAUCUGGCGGAAAGGAUGGUCAAAUGGUUAAAGGUUGGCGGGUAUAUUUUUUUCAGAGAGUCUUGUUUCCAUCAAUCUGGAGAUAGUAAGCGAAAAUACAACCCAACUCAUUACCGGGAGCCCAGAUUUUACACUAAGGUCUUUAAAGAGUGCCAUACCCAUGAUGGUUCUGGAAAUUCUUAUGAACUCACUCUUAUUGGCUGCAAAUGCAUUGGAGCUUAUGUGAGGAAUAAGAAGAAUCAAAAUCAGAUAUGUUGGAUAUGGCAGAAAGUAAGUUCACAAGAUGAUAAGGGGUUCCAGCAGUUCUUGGAUAAUGUUCAAUAUAAAUGUAAUGGCAUCCUACGCUAUGAGCGUGUCUUUGGAAAAGGUUUUGUAAGCACAGGAGGAAUUGAAACAACUAAAGAAUUUGUGGCAAAGCUGGAUCUUAAGCCUGGCCAGAAAGUCCUAGAUGUU
Molecule: unclassified non-coding RNA, 698 nt
Filed under: Hevea brasiliensis (rubber tree)
Lineage: Eukaryota; Viridiplantae; Streptophyta; Magnoliopsida; Malpighiales; Euphorbiaceae
Source: RNAcentral